GAGUUUGAUCGUGGCUCAGAUUGAACGCUGGCGGCAUGCCUUACACAUGCAAGUCGAACGGCAGCACGGGAGCUUGCUCCUGGUGGCGAGUGGCGAACGGGUGAGUAAUGCAUCGGAACGUAUCCUGGAGUGGGGGAUAACGUAGCGAAAGUUACGCUAAUACCGCAUAUUCUGUGAGCAGGAAAGCGGGGGACCUUCGGGCCUCGCGCUCUUGGAGCGGCCGAUGUCGGAUUAGCUAGUUGGUGAGGU
This 249-nucleotide ribosomal RNA is filed under the name bacterium enrichment culture clone ALO1_GLFRUDD03GLEKV. RNAcentral describes it as "partial 16S ribosomal RNA". It matches the Rfam family "Bacterial small subunit ribosomal RNA", at positions 9 to 258 of the family's 1533-position model. The record is from RNAcentral.